This 1626-nucleotide long non-coding RNA is filed under the name Sus scrofa (pig). RNAcentral describes it as "lncRNA (ENSSSCG00060053037.1)". The record is from RNAcentral. Lineage: Eukaryota; Metazoa; Chordata; Mammalia; Artiodactyla; Suidae.
ACCUCUAGUAACAGCAUGAAUUGAUGAGGUGGAAUAUCCCAUUUUCAGACAAUUCAUUUGAUUAGAAACUUUUUAAAAAUUAUAUUGGAUUGAAAUCUACCUCCCUAUAAUUUCCAGUACUUGACCUUUUGAUCUUUAAGAUCUAGAGGGCAUUCUCACCGGGGCGCGGAUACUUGCAUGUGUAAUUUUAUUUUAUUAAGAAUUAAUAGAAAGGCCAGGACCAAACCUGUGUGUUUAUGGGGCUGUGAGGCCCAUCUAGGCAUUUUCAGUGCCUUGCUUUGGUAGUUUAAGCUACAUUAACUUUAAGUUAUUUUAAAUUGUGGGCGUAUACUUAAAUAGGUGCUUAUAUUUUGGGAGGUUAUUGUGUUGUAAUUUUAAAUUUAUUUGUGGUAGAUUGACUUAAAAAUCUAGGGAGGUAGGUGCCUGCUUUCGUAGCACGUAUUUAAGUAGGUGCUUUAUAAGAUAUAGUGGGUUGUGUGGUCCUGUGUGGUUAAAUGUUGUUUAGUGUAAGUUAAGCUUUAUUGUAUUUACACACUUUGCUUUGUUUUUGGGGUUUGGCAAGGCAUUAUAGGGUGUGUAGAGCAUAAGUUUAAUGGGGGGUAAGGGGGGUUUGAGUGAGCUAAUAAUUUACCUGCUUAUACGCGCGUGUACGCACGUGUACGCACGUUAUGUCCUGUAACCAUUGACUGAAUAACACCCUGUUUAAGUAUCGUGCCGGGUCAUGAAUAUCAUGAAGUCUAGCUACAAUUGAUUUGACUGUGUUAGGGCCUCAGACGGCCAUGGCUGAGUCUAAGCAUCCCCAAAAAUUAAAAAAUACCAAAUGUAUGAAACCUCAGUUAUGUGUGAGCAUGGGCUGAUUAGUCAUUAGUCCAUCGAGAUGUCUUAUUUAAGAGGAAAGAGUGGACGGUUUUAGGUGAGAUGGUCCUGAAGUAAGAACCAGAUGUCUGAUAAAGUUCAUUAAUAGAAACCCCCACGAUUGAUGGGCCCGGAGCGAGAAGAGAGGUCCUUGCCAAGCGGGUUGCUGGUUUCACGCGGCAUGGUAAUUAAGCUCGCGAUCUAAUGGUGAUGAUACGCAUGUUGACUGGAGUAUAUUUAAUAUAAAUGUGCUAUGUACGAUCAAUAAUAAUAUGUACUAUGUAAUAUUAAUAAUAAUAUGUACAUGCUUAUAUGCAUGGGGACUAGCAAUUAAUGCACGACGUACAUAGGGUUAUAAUUACAUUUGAUCAUGGUUUUUUAAUGGUUUAAUUUUUGGAGUUACAUUCUUGAAUACAGUGAAUAAGUGGAAUUCUUCCCACAUAUAAUAACCUCACAUAAAACAGACUCCUAUGCACUCCCAAAUCUUCCAGUUUAUCUAUCAUUCAUUUUUUCACUUUUCCUUACACAAAUUGAUUUUCAGAUCCUUUUACUAGCUUGAUUCAUCCUUUUUAGAACUCAUUCGCUAUUGACAGAAUUCUGCCUACAUAAGUUUACCUGCUGUAACCUUUCUGAUCAUUCUAUUAUCAAACUUAAUCAUAAUCUCCUUACUGUGACAUCAUUUCUAUAUUGCCUCUUCUCUCACUGCUUUGGUUUCUUCAACUGACAAAUAGUACCAAUAAAUGCUAAUAAGCAUUUACCUUAGGGCUAUUA